Molecule: long non-coding RNA, 1238 nt
Filed under: Coturnix japonica (Japanese quail)
Lineage: Eukaryota; Metazoa; Chordata; Aves; Galliformes; Phasianidae
Description: lncRNA (ENSCJPG00005017153.1)
Source: RNAcentral
GCGAGUUUCCUGAAUGGAGCUUUUAAGCAUUUAAUAAUUACUCUUGGACAUGCAGCCUUUUGCAGCGAACAGGAGAGAUUUUGCUAUAUUUGUGGAUAAAUGGGAAUUAUUACAGGAAUAAUAACUGCUGUAAUAAAAUGAUGAGGCACUAGCUUGUGUUGCCCAGAGAUGUAGUGGGUGCCCCAUCCGUGGAGGGUCAGGUCUGGCUGGACAGGACUCUGAGCACCCUGGAAGCUGUGGUCUUACUUGUUCAUUGCAGGUGAGUUGGACUGGAUAACUUUUAAGGAACCCUUCCAACUCAAACAAUUAAAAAAUAAUAUAGUUGUGUGUAUCUGCAGUUAAGUUAUGCUCAUCUAAUAAAAGAACGCUGUCCCAAACACUACCAAAGUUCAUACUUCAGUCUUUAUACACUCAAGUGUUGGGUGACCUAAAAAAAGGGGGGAAAAAAUAGAUGAUAAAAUAACAGUAACACUUUAGAAAGUUAUUGAUGUUGUAAGAGAUACGGUAUAUAUGACAAACACAGUCAACCAGUAUGACAUAAAUAUUGAAUAUGCUCUUCAGGAAUAAAUAUCAAUAAAUGAUUGAUAUUCUUUGUUCUUUAUUCUGCAUAUUUAUCCACUUCAAUGUUUGCCCUUUUGCAGAUGUUGCAGCUGUAAAUGAUGGAAGCUGUGGAAUCAGUGGAAUCCGCUGUUCAGGAAUCCGUGGAUGUGAAUCAAGGCUGAAGGACCUGAUCAGACUUUCAAUAGCAAUUGAUGAGCAAUAUCACCAAUGAAGAAGUACUCUGCUAGUUCUUCCUAACAUUCAGCAUGUGUCAGCCUCAACAAUGUCUGCAAAGUCCCGCUUGCUUGCACCUCUGUUACCCUGUAAGGAUGCUUUGCAGACUCAGCGCCAGCUCCUCUGCUGCCACAGGCUCUCAGCAACUAACAGGAGCACAUGAAGCUGAAGGCUGAUUAAUAUUGACCGCAGGUAGCGCUCCCUGCCACGCCACCACUGCGGAGGCCUUGACAGUUCCAUGACCCUCAUCCUCGCGCUGCUCCCCUCCCUCCCGCUGCCUCCCACUCUGCUACUUGAACAAAACAUCCCAUCAGCAUUGUUUACUGCGGGAACUCAGCCAAGGAAGUCAUAACAAGACAAUAGACACAUAAUCUGAUAACCUUGUUAGCUCGGUGGAAUCAGAGCUCCUAACAAGUAGAAGAGUUCAGUAAAGCAGAAUAAAAGUAUUACAAUAUUUGCUGUCA